RNAcentral lists this ribosomal RNA (904 nucleotides) under Talaromyces rotundus. Its description in RNAcentral is "LSU rRNA". It matches the Rfam family "Eukaryotic large subunit ribosomal RNA", at positions 41 to 959 of the family's 3401-position model. Lineage: Eukaryota; Fungi; Ascomycota; Eurotiomycetes; Eurotiales; Trichocomaceae. The record is from RNAcentral.
UAUCAAUAAGCGGAGGAAAAGAAACCAACAGGGAUUGCCUCAGUAACGGCGAAGUGAAGCGGCAAGAAGCUCAAAUUUGAAAUCUGGCUCCUUCGGGGCCCGAGUUGUAAUUUGGAGAGGAKGCUUCGGGCGUGGCCCCUAUCUAAGUGCCCUGGAACGGGCCGUCAUAGAGGGUGAGAAUCCCGUCUGGGAUGGGUGGUCCCGCCCGUGUGAAGCUCCUUCGAAGAGUCGAGUUGUUUGGGAAUGCAGCUCUAAGAGGGUGGUAAAUUUCAUCUAAAGCUAAAUAUUGGCCGGAGACCGAUAGCGCACAAGUAGAGUGAUCGAAAGAUGAAAAGCACUUUGAAAAGAGAGUUAAACAGCACGUGAAAUUGUUGAAAGGGAAGCGUUGGCAACCAGACUCGCCCGGGAGGGCUCAGCCGGCACGUGUGCCGGUGCACUCCCCCCCGGGCGGGCCAGCGUCGGUUUGGGCGGUCGGUCAAAGGCCCCGGGAACGUAGCACCCUCCGGGGUGCCUUAUAGCCCGAGGCGCCAUGCGACCUGCCCGGACCGAGGAACGCGCUCCGGCUCGGACGCUGGCGUAAUGGUUGUCAACGGCCCGUCUUGAAACACGGACCAAGGAGUCUAACAUCUAUGCGAGUGUUCGGGUGUCAAACCCGUCCGCGCAGUGAAAGCGAACGGAGGUGGGAACCCCUUUCGGGGUGCACCAUCGACCGAUCCUGAUGUCUUCGGAUGGAUUUGAGUAAGAGCAUAGCUGUUGGGACCCGAAAGAUGGUGAACUAUGCCUGAAUAGGGCGAAGCCAGAGGAAACUCUGGUGGAGGCUCGCAGCGGUUCUGACGUGCAAAUCGAUCGUCAAAUUUGGGUAUAGGGGCGAAAGACUAAUCGAACCAUCUGGUAGCUGGUCUGC